Molecule: ribosomal RNA, 253 nt
Filed under: uncultured bacterium
Lineage: Bacteria
Description: partial 16S ribosomal RNA
Rfam family: Bacterial small subunit ribosomal RNA
Source: RNAcentral
UACGUAGGUGGCAAGCGUUGUCCGGAUUUACUGGGCGUAAAGAGCGCGCAGGCGGUCGUGCAAGUCGCGUGUGAAAGCCCCCGGCUCAACUGGGGAGGGUCACGCGAUACUGCUCGACUCGAAGGCAGGAGAGGGAAGUGGAAUUCCCGGUGUAGUGGUGAAAUGCGUAGAUAUUCGGAAGAACACCAGUGGCGAAGGCGACUUACUGGACACAUAUUGACGCUGAGGUGCGAAAGCGUGGGGAGCAAACAGG